Molecule: ribosomal RNA, 433 nt
Filed under: Phratora vulgatissima
Lineage: Eukaryota; Metazoa; Arthropoda; Insecta; Coleoptera; Chrysomelidae
Description: partial 16S large subunit ribosomal RNA
Source: RNAcentral
GUCUUUUUGAGUAUAAUUUAAAGUCUAGCCUGCCCAAUGAUUAAUUUAAUGGCCGCGGUAUUUUGACCGUGCUAAGGUAGCAUAAUCAAUAGUUUUUUAAUUGAAAGCUGGAAUGAAGGGUUGGAUAAAAAAAUAACUGUCUUUAUUUAAUUUAAUUAGAAUUUUAUUUUUAAGUUAAAAAGCUUAAAUUUUAUUAAAAGACGAGAAGACCCUAUAGAGUUUUAUAAUUAUUUUUAUUAAUAUUUUAAGAAUUUAUUUUAUUAAUAAAAAUAAUUAUUUAAUUGGGGUGAUUGAAAAAUUUAAUUAACUUUUUUUAUAUUAAUACAUUUAUAAGUGAAAAAUUGAUCCAUAUUUGAUGAUUACAAGAUUAAAUUACCUUAGGGAUAACAGCGUUAUUUUUUUUGAGAGUUCAAAUCGAAAAAAAAGAUUGCGA